RNAcentral lists this ribosomal RNA (492 nucleotides) under uncultured bacterium. RNAcentral describes it as "partial 16S ribosomal RNA". It matches the Rfam family "Bacterial small subunit ribosomal RNA", at positions 29 to 507 of the family's 1533-position model. The record is from RNAcentral.
AGUGAACGCUGGCGGUAGGCCUAACACAUGCAAGUCAAACGGCAGCACAGUAAGAGCUUGCUCUUACGGGUGGCGAGUGGCGGACGGGUGAGGAAUACAUCGGGAUCUACUUUUUCGUGGGGGAUAACGUAGGGAAACUUACGCUAAUACCGCAUACGACCUACGGGUGAAAGCAGGGGAUCUUCUGACCUUGCGCGAUUGAAUGAGCCGAUGUCGGAUUAGCUAGUUGGCGGGGUAAAGGCCCACCAAGGCGACGAUCCGUAGCUGGUCUGAGAGGAUGAUCAGCCACACUGGAACUGAGACACGGUCCAGACUCCUACGGGAGGCAGCAGUGGGGAAUAUUGGACAAUGGGCGCAAGCCUGAUCCAGCCAUACCGCGUGGGUGAAGAAGGCCUUCGGGUUGUAAAGCCCUUUUGUUGGGAAAGAAAAGCAGCAGGUUAAUACCCCGCUGUUCUGACGGUACCCAAAGAAUAAGCACCGGCUAACUUCGUG